CCUACGGGUGGCAGCAGUGAGGAAUCUUAGUCAAUGGCCGUAAGGCUGAACCAGCCAAGUCGCGUGAAGGAAGAAGGAUCUCUGGUUUGUAAACUUCUUUUAUAGGGGAAUAAAGGUAUCCACGUGUGUGUAUUUGCAUGUACCCUAUGAAUAAGCAUCGGCUAACUCCGUUCCAGCAGACGCGGUACUAUGGAGGAUGCAAGCGUUAUCCGGAUUUAUUGUGUUUAACGGUAGCGUAGGUUGUUUUUUAAGUCAGCGGUGAAAGUUUGUGGAUCAACCAGAAAAUUGCCGUUGAAACUGGAAGACUUGAGUGUGUUUGGGGUAGGCGGAAUGCGUGGUGUAGCGGUGAAAUGCAUAGAUAGCACGCAGAACUCCGAUUGCGAAGGCAGCUUACUAAGCCAUAACUGACACUGAAGCACGAAAGCGUGGGGAGCAAACAGGAUUAGAUACCCGUGUAGUC
Molecule: ribosomal RNA, 460 nt
Filed under: uncultured bacterium
Lineage: Bacteria
Description: partial 16S ribosomal RNA
Rfam family: Bacterial small subunit ribosomal RNA
Source: RNAcentral